AAGUUUUUAAGAAAAGUAUUUUUGAUACAAGAAAGAACUGAUAUGUUAUAAUAAGACUAUCUUAUUGUUAUGUGAAAGAUAAAUAUUAUUUGCCUAUCCACUAGAGACUAUUAUGGUCUGGUAAAGUUUUCUUGUCAACAUUUUAUUUCUUUUCAUUGCAUAACUGAAAAGAUAAAUAUUUACUGAUAAGAUGUUUAAUUUUGUCAAUAUAAAAAGAUAUUCUACCAGAUGCUUCAGAAGAUAAACCCAGAAUAGUGCGCUCUGUUUUAAAAUACCGUUUUUGCCACGAUUUAUAGGUUGGUGUAUUUUCUUUAAAUGCCACAAUCACCACUAUAAAUUUACAAAUGAAUUUGGGAUAAAUUUUUAAUUUCAAUUUUUCAUCAAAUAAAGAUUGUGUAACACAACCUGUGUCGUGUUACACAAUCGGUGUUACACAAGAUUGUGUAACACCGACUGUGAGCACAAACAGAUUUAUAUCUAUAUUUUGAUAGAUUCUUGCCAUUUUGUGAAAGGUUUCUAUAAUUACAGUGUCUUUAUCAUACAGUGUAUCAACGUGACUUAUGUCUGUAGUGUGUGGUUUCAGCUUUCAUAAUUGUAUUUUAUCAACUAAAAUAUGACAAACGGCAUUCCAUGGACGAAUGUAAUGAAACGAAUUUUAACAAGAGUCAACAAUUACUUUUCAGGAUUUAUUCAUCAACAAAUUGAAAAUUGUCAACGCAAAAUACAGCUCUUGCCAGCUGGUGGUGGCUGCGUCUUGUUUGCUGGAAGCAACCGGAAGUCAUCCGAGAUUUCGAACAGAGGUGCUGGCUGCGCGUGAGAUUUUGAAUACGCCCGAGUUGACAGUUUAAUUAGGAAUGUACGGCAUGCGCACACAUCAUCUAACAAAAGAGUAGACAGAAAUGGAGGCCUUAGUCUAACUUGUUUCAGUCUAUUGCAAGACAAAGUGAAAACUUAAACAUAUAAUAUACUUACUUUUUGUAAGAAGUUAACUUCUAUUAAUUAAAUAAUACUGUAUUUUUUGGUUUAAAAAAUUGGGUGUAAUUAAUUUAUAUUUAAAAAAUUCAGACUCAAGUUUCUAUUGUUUGUUAAUGUCAUACUUUAUCAUCUAGUGUUUAACAAUUAAGUAAUAUAAUCUAAACAGAUAUAAUUAAGAUAAUAUUUUUAUGUAAUUUAUUAUUAAUAAAUUUGCAAAUCUAAGUAUAACACUUUUAUAAACUGUUGUAAGCAUGUACUUUUAAUUAAAAUAAAAAUUAUUAUUAUUAUUGUUGAUAGUAAAAUUAACUCUUAAAAUCAGAAUAAACAUAGAAAACGUGAUAACUUAAUCAGGAGAGUGGAAUUUAAUGGUUUCUGUUCAUUUGGAUUUAUUUUUAUAAAAUAAAAUUACUAAAAGUGAAAUUGAUGGCAAAAUUAAGACAUUGGACCUUAUUAUAACCAAGUGCCUCAUUUGACCUCAACAAUUAAAAUAAGUGAUUAGUUGAACCAGUCAUUGAUAUUUAAUAUCACUGUAAUUUUUCUGCCCAGGUGCUUCUGACUUUGAUUAUUGUUUUUUAAAAAUAAUCAAUCAUAAAUUGAAUUAUUUAUGGUCAAUGAAAUACUGUUAGGAUACAGAAGUUAUUAGUCAUAAAAAUCAUUUUUAUGAAAUUUAAUAAUAUAUAGACUGAUUGUAAAGUUCCCAUAUAAGAAAUGGUAUUCUGGUUCUACAUCAUAUUGGAUGUAGAUCCAAUAUGGUGUAGCCUCCUCAAAGUCCAGACAAAUGUACAUGAUUACAACAUAUGUUUAUAAUAGUAUGUCAAUUCAUUUUGGGUGAGUUAAACAAUUAAAUAUCUAGUUGAAAAAAUUUUUCAACAGAUAUUUAAUGUUGUAAAGCCAACAACUAUCGGGACUGUUCUAAAGACAUUAUUUUCCAAAUUGGUGGUUGAAUGUCAAGAACAAAUGUAGGAAAAAAACUAAAUUUACAAUGAGAAUAAAAAGAGGGUACAGGUAACUUUAAUUACACUGCAUAGAGGUUCCACAUAAUAGAUAAAUAAGAGACAUAAAUAAG
RNAcentral lists this long non-coding RNA (2041 nucleotides) under Centruroides sculpturatus (bark scorpion). RNAcentral describes it as "uncharacterized LOC111618699, transcript variant X1". The record is from RNAcentral. Lineage: Eukaryota; Metazoa; Arthropoda; Arachnida; Scorpiones; Buthidae.